This 237-nucleotide long non-coding RNA is filed under the name Mytilus galloprovincialis (Mediterranean mussel). Lineage: Eukaryota; Metazoa; Mollusca; Bivalvia; Mytilida; Mytilidae. The record is from RNAcentral.
UCUUGUAUUAUUUUAAUUUUAGUUUCUUGUGUACAAUUUGGAAAUUAGUAUGGCGUUCAUUAUCACUGGACUAGUAUAUAUUGUUUAGGGGCCAGCUGAAGGACGCCUCCGGGUGCGGGAAUUUCUCGCUACAUUGAAGACCUGUUGGUGACCCUCUGCUGUUGUUUUUUAUUUGGUCGGGUUGUUGUCUCUUUGACACAUUCCCCAUUUCCAUUCUCAAUUUUACGUAUGUAUAUA